Molecule: small nucleolar RNA, 133 nt
Filed under: Urocitellus parryii (Arctic ground squirrel)
Lineage: Eukaryota; Metazoa; Chordata; Mammalia; Rodentia; Sciuridae
Source: RNAcentral
AAGCACUGCCAGUGAACCUGAUGUGUCUUCUUGGGUGUCAUGGGACAAGUAAAAUGUCAGAGCCUAGCAACUUGUGAUAACUAGGGCUCUUCAGCUGUCAGUUGAACUGCUCCUUUAAAAACAAGGUACAUUU